Molecule: non-coding RNA, 6052 nt
Organism: Oryctolagus cuniculus (rabbit)
Lineage: Eukaryota; Metazoa; Chordata; Mammalia; Lagomorpha; Leporidae
Source: RefSeq, a predicted model, not a curated record
GUGUUUGCCUAGCAACGUUCUGGUCCCCCAUUCCGAGCGAGGCUAUUUGGUAUUGCGUCACCACUUCCCUUUCCCCUACUGCUCUGUGACCUACCGUGUGGACACGUGAAAAGUGGUGGUGGUGGCGGUGGUGGUGGUGGUGGGGAAGGAGCGCCAGCUCGCACUGCAGUGUUGGCAGCUGCUUCAUUUUGACCUAUAGUUAGGCUCCGUUCGCGGCGCCCGGGGGAGGGGCUGGGGCUGGGAGGUGAGGGACAGACACAGAUCAAGUUCACUUUCCUUUCUCUCCUUGCACUUCCAGUUUCAGAGACUGGAGGCAGAUCUCUCAGCUGUACUAGGGACCUGCACUUCAGCUAGUGUUUCAAGGACAUCAGAACUAAUCUUAAGACUGUCCAGCCCCAGCGGCACCCCUGGGACUGAGACUAAAUAGGGUGAUGCUUCUUCAAGGAAAUACAGAACAUAUAGAAAGAGUGGAGAAAAGAAAAUAAAAGUCUCCAGCUUCCAAGGGAAUUCUUUUUUACCGUUUGGUCCACAUCCAUUCCAGUCAGCCUCUUCCACACACGUGCGCUUCUCCCUUUCUCUUUCUCUUCAGUAGGCAGCCUGAGGUUCAUCUCACUCUACAUCCCUUCUCUCAUUUAGCAUUAUAUCAUGGCAUAUUUCUGUAUACGGGAAUGUGUGCAAUAGAAUUUUUAUGUAUAAGUUUUCCUGCAAUAUUGCACAUAGAAAAUGCAUGAGUUUUGAGUGUGUAGCUUGAUGAAUGAGCACACCCAUGCAACUAGCAGAAGGUACAGGUACCCCAGAAACUGAACAUUAAACCUCCCUCAGACCACCUCCAGGCACUAAAAGCCUCCCUCAUUCCUCUUUCCAGACACUAUGCUCCAUUUGAAAUGUUACCACUAUCCUAAUUUCUUUUUUUUUAAAUCUUUAUUUAUUUAUUUAUUUGAAAGUCAGAGUUACACAAGAAAAGGAGAGGCAGAGACAGAGAGAGAGAGAGGUCUUCCAUCCUGAUGGUUCACUCCCCAAUUGGCCACAGUGGCCAGAGCUGCGCCGAUCUGAAGCCAGGAGCCAGGAGCUUCCUCCAGGUCUCCCAUGUGGGUUGAGGGGCUCAAGGAUUUGGUCCAUCUUCCAGUGCUUUCCCAGGCCAUAGCAGAGAGCUGGAUCAGAAGUGGAGCAGCCAAGCCUCGAACCGGCACCCAUAUGGGAUGCCGGCGCUCCAGACCAGGGUGUUAACCCACUGCGCCACAGCGCCAGCCCCACCAUUAUCCUAGUUUCUAAAGCAAGAUCUGCCCUCCCAUCCCACUGUUCUGAACUUUAUUAGAUGGAGUCGUAUAGUACCCAGCUUCUCCCAUCAUUAUGGUUAUGAGACUCAGUUUUUGUGUAUGGCUGUAGUUUGUUCAUUCUCAUUUUUGUAUUCUACUGUAUGAAUACACCACAAUUUAUGUAACAUUUUGUUUUAAAAAUUUAUUUAUUUAUAUGUUUGAAAGGUGGUGGGGGGGAGAGAAAGAAAUAGUCCAUUUGCUGUUUCACUCCCCAAAUAGCUAGGACUAGGCCAGGAUGAAGGCACAAGUCAGGAACUCCAGCUGAUCUCCCAUACGGUGGCAAGAACUCAAUCGCUUCAGCUAUCAUUUGUUGCUUCCCAGGCGCGUUAGCAAGAAGCUGAAUCAGAAGUGGAGUAGCCGGGCCUCAAACUAGUACUGGGAUAUGAGAUGCAGCUCUCUGCUAUGGCCUGGGAAAGCAAUGGAAGAUGGCCCAAGCGCUUGGGCUCCUGCACCUGCCUGAGAGGUCUGGAGGAAGCUCCUGGCUCCUGGUUCGGAUCAGCCCAGCUCCAGCCGUUGCAUUCAUUUGGGGAUUGAACCAGCAGUUGGAAGACCUUUCUCUCUGUCUGUACUUGUGUCUGUAACUCUACCUUUCAAAUAAAUAAAUUAAAAAAAAAGAAAAAAAGAAAUGUUGGCUUUAGAAACCUGCUUUGCCCUAAGGUCACCAGUUUAGCCUAACCUCUGGUCACCCCUCCCAAGACACUAGCCUGAUGAUUUUGGUGCUUUUCUCUGCCUUAUACCCCUGGACUGAUUUCUAUGUGGAAAGAACUUGAGUUACCUUUACAUUCUUUUUUUUUUUUCUUAAAGAUUUAUUUAUUUAUUUGAAAAGCAGAAAGAGACAGAGAGAAGAGAGAGAGAGAGAGAUCUUCCAUCUGCUGGUUCACUCCUCAAAUGGCUGUAAUGGCUUGGGUUGGGCCAGGCCAAAGUCAGGAGCCUAGAACUCCAUCCUGGUCUCCCGCAUGGGUAUCAGGGGCCCAAGCACUUGGGCCAUCUUCUGCUGCUUUUCCAGGCACAGUAGCCAGGAGCUGGAUUGGAAGUGGAGCAGCUGGGACUGGCAUUCCACAGGCUGCCAGUGUUGCAGAUGGUGGCCCCACCUUUCCAUUCUUGAGCUUGAUCCCAACAACAGUCCCUGCCUUCCUUCAACAGAUUUUUAUGAGCUCUCCCACUCCGCGCAGCACUGAUUAGGCGUGCCCUUGGUGUUCCAGGUGCUGCUGGCUCCUCAUCAGUGUUCUGCUGUGCUUACACCACUUUGUCCAGCGCUGUCCUUCUCCCUCCACCCUCCACCCUUCACUCUUCAGCACAUUCCACCACUUUAUUACCUUCAUGGCACUUGACACUAUCUGGAAAUACUCAUUUCUGCAUUUAUCUGUUUGUUACUUGUCUGCUUUACCCACUGGACAGUAACUCUGAGACAUCAGUCUUUGUCUCUCUUGUUCUUUCUUUCGUAGUUCCAACGGUGCUCAGCACACAGAAGAUCCUUCAUAAGGCCCAGCCUCUGUGGUCAGGAAAUUUUUAAUGUAGAGGGAAAUAGAGAUAAACAUAGGAUCCUAUAUAUUACCGGCUGUGCUUGAGGCAAACCUAGGAUGCUCUCUGUUCUCGUGUGUACGCAGAGAAUGGCGGGGUGGGCAGUGGAUGUCAAAGAAGACUUCCUGCAGGCAACCUGUGAACCCAACCUUGAAGGCCAAGUAGGACAGCGUUCUGGACAAGGAACCAGUCCAGGCAAAGGGCUGAUGGAGAGGCAGGUGAUUUAGACAAAUUCAAGUGCUUCAGGAAAGAUAGUUGGCAGAGUGCAGGAACUGAGGCUGGCAAGGCAGUCCUGGAAGGUUGUCCUGAGGAGGUGGGACUAUUCUGAAUUUGAUGGGGAACAGUCAAAUGGGAGAUUGUGAUCAUGGUCAAAUUAGUAUAGGAGAGAAUGAGGAGGUCAGCUCAAAGCCUUUGAGAACAAACAGACUUGGUGCUUAAGAGGCCCCCUUCCUCGCACACACUUUCCUCUUCCUCUCCUUUGCUCCUGACUGUUGCUUUGCUGGAAAGCACCUUUUUGUCCAUCUCUGUGUGCCCUAAAGUUACUUAUUGCUUAAGGACCAGCUUGAAUGAAUGACUGGUACCGUGGGCUGAAGCCCACCAACUGUACAAGCCUGGAUAUAUUUUGGGGCUGGGAGAUACACAAGAUGAGAGAAUCCUGAUGUGGGUACAUUCGUUCCAGGCAUCUGGGGCUUCACAGAUGCAAAUGCAAUUCUUUGUUGUUCCCUACAUGCCAGACACUGGGUGAAAUGCUGGGUUUACAAGGAUUAUGUCUCUAACCCUUACAACUGCAGUCAUGUGUCACUUAACUACAGUGAUAGUUCUGAGGUGCAUUGGCAGGCAAUUUUGUUGAGCAAACAACAUAGCAUGUACUUGCACAAACCUCCAUGGGCUAGGUCAGUCACUCAGUGUGGCCCCCUGAUGCAAUCAAAGCACUUGGUAAACACAAGACAUACAAGGCUGGCAUAAAAUGCCAUACUGCUUUACAGUACACUUAAAAAAUAUUUAUUUGAAAGGCAGAAUGAGAGAGAGAGAGAGAGAAGGAGUGGGGGGGAAGGGGGAGAGGAGGAGAGAUCCUCACUUGAUGGUUCACUCCCCAGAUGCCUACAACAGUCAGGGCUGAGCCAGGCUCAAGUCAGGAGCUGGAAGUCCUUCCGGCUCUCUCACAGAGUGGCUGUGGUCCAAGUAAUUGGGCCAUCUUCUGCUGCUUUCCUAGACACAUUAGCAGGGAGCUGGAUUGGAAACAGAGCAGCUGAGACUCAAACCAGUGCUUGGAUAUGGGAUGCUCGUGUUACAAGUGGUGAUUUAACCCAUUGCUGCACAACACCAGCCACUAACAGUAAAGUUUUUCUUAGAAGUACAUGGGAUACAGUCUAAAAUAACCAUUAAAAGUAUAGCGUAGAACAUUUACAACAGUAACAUAGUCAUUUAUUACCAAUAUUAUGUCCUGCACAUAGUUGUAUGUGCUUUACUUUCACAUGACUGGCAGCACACUGCUUACGCCAGCAUCACCACAAACAUGUGAAGAAUGUGUAAUACUAGGAUGUCACAACAGCUACAAUGUAGGGCCAGGUGUGGCGUGGUAAGUUAAGCUGCUGCCUUCAACAACUAUAAUUCCAUACUGGAGUGCCAGUUUGAGUCCCUGCCACUCUCCUUCUAAUCCAGCCCCUGCUAAUGCAUCUGGGAUCCAGCAGAUGAUGGCUCAAGUCCUCAAAUCCCUGCUCCCCACAGGGGAGAACUGGACAAAUUUCCUUGCUCCUGGCUUUGGCCUAGCCCAGCCCUGGCUGUUGCAGCCAUUUGGGUAGUGAACCAGUAGAUUAAGUUCUCUCUCUCCCUCCCUCCCUUCCUUUCUCUCUCCAUUCUGUCAUUGCCUUUCAAAUAAAUAAGUAGACCCAUCUUAAAAAAUAAAAUGCAGCUACAGUGUCACUGGGCAACAGGAUUUUUCAUUGGUACACUGCUGAAACUUUAUGUAGCACAUGAAAUGCCUAUAUACUAGGCAUUGUUAUUAGCUUUAUGUUAUGAAUUAACCAACUAAUGCACAGUUCUGUAAAUAAGUUGUUGAAAGUCAUUCUACCAUUAGUAAAGAUUAGGAUUGGAAUCUUAGAAGAUUGGCAUUAGACCCAUAAUAGCAGCACUAUCUUGUAAAUAGCAUUUGACUGAAAGUCAAUACAGCUGGAUUCUAGUUAAUAAUUAAUAGCAAUCAUAUAUCCAGCUCAACAACCCAGCAAGAUAGGUGUUAUCACCUCCAGUUUAAUAGGUAAGGUUACUGUGCACUAGAGGGUUUACAUGAAUUGUACCAGGCUGCACAACUUGGGUUUAGACCCAGGUUUGGUAGACUCCAAAGUCAAAGAUUUUAGCACUUGGAAAUGCUCCUCCUGGCAGUUCAGGACUUACUUUUUUAGAAUGGCCUGUGACCUUAGACUCUGAGGUCCCAGCUUUGUCAACUGGAAACUGAUAGAAUUGGACUGGCUGGCAUCUGGGCUCCCUCCUGCUCCACGAUCUAGGAUCCGACAGCCUCUGAGAGGCCUUGUCAACUUCCCCCUGGCGUUCAUCUUCAGUACUUUUGGGUUGGGUUCCCACCUUCAAACGAUGAGAGACAGAAGAAUAAAAUUCAUGACAUGACUAGGCAGCCUGAGAAACAAGCAUAGAGCUGAGGGCAGAGGCCUGGCUCUUAGCCAACUGGAAACUAAAAAAGUCCAUGAGAUGAUGACAAACUCAGAGCCAAGCUCCUUAGAGUGAAAUUACUAGACAAGAAAACUGGGGAAACGACCACACAGUUCUGAGGCUGCUCAGAGACCCCUGAGAACCAGGAGGGAACAGCAAAGGUACGUUAGCACAAGUGCACGUGGCAGGCAUGGUGUAGAGAGAGGGCUGAAAAUGGAAUUCAAUGCAGAAAAACCAGGGCUUAGUAAACAGUCUAGAGAGACAACAUCGUGUUGAGAAUAAAGGCAGAAACAGGCAGGUCCAUUGGGUGACACCUGACCGAGGCAGUUUGUCUAAGAUGGGAAAGAUCACAUGCCAUUUGGGGACAUUUCCUGGGAAAUGUGUUGGCAGAAAACUUGAACUUCAGCAGACAAAUUGCUGGGAGAGCUGUCAGUGGGGAAAGAUGCUGGUUGUGUUUAUAUUGCUAAUUAUAUCACAUGCAUUUGGGGCUUUGAAGGGUGCAAUUAGUAAUUGCCUUUUUAGGGUUUUCAUAUCAGGGCAACAAAAGUAUAAAG